AGUGAACGCUGGCGGUAGGCCUAACACAUGCAAGUCGAACGGCAGCACAGUAAGAGCUUGCUCUUACGGGUGGCGAGUGGCGGACGGGUGAGGAAUACAUCGGAAUCUACUUUUUCGUGGGGGAUAACGUAGGGAAACUUACGCUAAUACCGCAUACGACCUACGGGUGAAAGCAGGGGAUCUUCGGACCCUGCGCGAUUGAAUGAGCCGAUGUCGGAUUAGCUAGUUGGCGGGGUAAAGGCCCACCAAGGCGACGAUCCGUAGCUGGUCUGAGAGGAUGAUCAGCCACACUGGAACUGAGACACGGUCCAGACUCCUACGGGAGGCAGCAGUGGGGAAUAUUGGACAAUGGGCGCAAGCCUGAUCCAGCCAGACCGCGUGGGUGAAGAAGGCCUUCGGGUUGUAAAGCCCUUUUGUUGGGAAAGAAAAGCAGCAGGUUAAUACCCCGCUGUUCUGACGGUACCCAAAGAAUAAGCACCGGCUAACUUCGUG
RNAcentral lists this ribosomal RNA (492 nucleotides) under uncultured bacterium. Its description in RNAcentral is "partial 16S ribosomal RNA". It matches the Rfam family "Bacterial small subunit ribosomal RNA", at positions 29 to 507 of the family's 1533-position model. The record is from RNAcentral.